Molecule: ribosomal RNA, 207 nt
Filed under: uncultured bacterium
Lineage: Bacteria
Description: partial 16S ribosomal RNA
Rfam family: Bacterial small subunit ribosomal RNA
Source: RNAcentral
GGUCUAGGUGGAUUCUUAAGUCAAAUGUGAAAUCUCUCGGCUUAACUGAGAAACUGCAUCUGAAACUGGGAAUCUUGAGCACGGUAGAGGAGAGUGGAACUCUCAGUGUAGCGGUGGAAUGCGUAGAUAUUGAGAGGAACACCAUUGGCGAAGGCAGCUCUCUGGACCGUUGCUGACACUAAAGCCCGAAAGCUGGGGUAGCGAACA